Molecule: ribosomal RNA, 253 nt
Filed under: uncultured bacterium
Lineage: Bacteria
Description: partial 16S ribosomal RNA
Rfam family: Bacterial small subunit ribosomal RNA
Source: RNAcentral
UACGUAGGGUCCGAGCGUUGUCCGGAAUUACUGGGCGUAAAGAGCUCGUAGGUGGUUUGUCACGUUGUUCGUGAAAACUCACAGCUUAACUGUGGGCGUGCGGGCGAUACGGGCAGACUAGAGUACUGCAGGGGAGACUGGAAUUCCUGGUGUAGCGGUGGAAUGCGCAGAUAUCAGGAGGAACACCGGUGGCGAAGGCGGGUCUCUGGGCAGUAACUGACGCUGAGGAGCGAAAGCGUGGGGAGCGAACGGG